CCUACGGGAGGCAGCAGUGAGGAAUAUUGGUCAAUGGACGAGAGUCUGAACCAGCCAAGUAGCGUGAAGGAUGACUGCCCUAUGGGUUGUAAACUUCUUUUAUAAAGGAAUAAAACGAGGCACGUGUGCCUUUUUGCAUGUACCUUAUGAAUAAGGAUCGGCUAACUCCGUGCCAGCAGCCGCGGUAAUACGGAGGAUCCGAGCGUUAUCCGGAUUUAUUGGGUUUAAAGGGAGCGUAGAUGGGUUGUUAAGUUAGUUGUGAAAGUUUGCGGCUCAACCGUAAAAUUGCCAUUGAUACUGGCAGUCUAGAGAACAGUUGAGGUAGGCGGAAUGCGUGGUGUAGCGGUGAAAUGCUUAGAUAUCACGCAGAACCCCGAUUGCGAAGGCAGCUUACUAAACUGUGACUGACAUUGAUGCACGAAAGUGUGGGUAUCAAACAGGAUUAGAUACCCCGGUAGUC
This 460-nucleotide ribosomal RNA is filed under the name uncultured bacterium. RNAcentral describes it as "partial 16S ribosomal RNA". It matches the Rfam family "Bacterial small subunit ribosomal RNA", at positions 338 to 795 of the family's 1533-position model. The record is from RNAcentral.